Molecule: ribosomal RNA, 253 nt
Filed under: uncultured bacterium
Lineage: Bacteria
Description: partial 16S ribosomal RNA
Rfam family: Bacterial small subunit ribosomal RNA
Source: RNAcentral
UACGAAGGGGGCUAGCGUUGCUCGGAAUCACUGGGCGUAAAGCGCACGUAGGCGGCUUUCUAAGUCAGGGGUGAAGUCCUGGAGCUCAACUCCAGAACUGCCUUUGAUACUGGAGAGCUUGAGUCCGGAAGAGGUGAGUGGAACUCCGAGUGUAGAGGUGAAAUUCGUAGAUAUUCGGAAGAACACCAGUGGCGAAGGCGGCUCACUGGUCCGGUACUGACGCUGAGGUGCGAAAGCGUGGGGAGCAAACAGG